UCUUGGGGCCGUAUCACCCUGAACACAUCUGGGCUUAGGAGUAAAGCAGGAUAGGGCGUGGUCAGAAGCUUGAUGGGAGACCACUUGGUGCUGUUAGCUUUGGGGC
Molecule: ribosomal RNA, 106 nt
Filed under: Cynoglossus semilaevis (tongue sole)
Lineage: Eukaryota; Metazoa; Chordata; Actinopteri; Pleuronectiformes; Cynoglossidae
Source: RNAcentral